This 793-nucleotide ribosomal RNA is filed under the name uncultured archaeon. RNAcentral's name for it is "bacterial SSU rRNA". It matches the Rfam family "Archaeal small subunit ribosomal RNA", at positions 85 to 879 of the family's 1478-position model. The record is from RNAcentral.
ACUGCUCAGUAACACGUGGACAACCUGCCCUUAGGUUGGGUAUAAACCCGGGAAACUGGGUAUAAUACCCGAUAGGUCUCGAUUGCUGGAAUGCAUCGAGAUUUAAAGCUCCGGCGCCUAAGGAUGGGUCUGCGGCCUAUCAGGUAGUAGUGGGUGUAGCGUACCUACUAGCCUACGACGGGUACGGGUUGUGAGAGCAAGAGCCCGGAGAUGGAUUCUGAGACACGAAUCCAGGCCCUAUGGGGUGCAGCAGGCGCGAAAACUUUACAAUGCUGGCAACAGCGAUAAGGGAACCUCGAGUGCCAGGUUACAAAUCUGGCUGUCGAGAUGCCUAAAAAGCAUUUCAUAGCAAGGGCCGGGCAAGACCGGUGCCAGCCGCCGCGGUAACACCGGCGGCUCGAGUGGUAACCGUUAUUAUUGGGUCUAAAGGGUCUGUAGCCGGCCGGAUAAGUCUCUUGAGAAAUCUGGCAGCUUAACUGUCGGGCUUUCAGGAGAUACUGUCUGGCUCGAGGCCGGGAGAGGUGAGAGGUACUUCAGGGGUAGGGGUGAAAUCUUGUAAUCCUUGAAGGACCACCAGUGGCGGAGGCGUCUCACCAGAACGGACCUGACGGCAAGGGACGAAAGCUAGGGGCACGAACCGGAUUAGAUACCCGGGUAGUCCUAGCCGUAAACGAUACUCGCUAGGUGUCGGCCACGGUGCGACCGUUGUCGGUGCCGUAGGGAAGCCGUUAAGCGAGCCACCUGGGAAGUACGGCCGCAAGGCUGAAACUUAAAGGAAUUGGCGGGGGAGCAC